RNAcentral lists this ribosomal RNA (689 nucleotides) under Variovorax sp. EECC-490. RNAcentral's name for it is "bacterial SSU rRNA". It matches the Rfam family "Bacterial small subunit ribosomal RNA", at positions 88 to 774 of the family's 1533-position model. Lineage: Bacteria; Pseudomonadati; Pseudomonadota; Betaproteobacteria; Burkholderiales; Comamonadaceae. The record is from RNAcentral.
GCGGCGAGUGGCGACGGGUGAGUAAUACAUCGGAACGUGCCCAAUCGUGGGGGAUAACGCAGCGAAAGCUGUGCUAAUACCGCAUACGAUCUACGGAUGAAAGCAGGGGAUCGCAAGACCUUGCGCGAAUGGAGCGGCCGAUGGCAGAUUAGGUAGUUGGUGAGGUAAAGGCUCACCAAGCCUUCGAUCUGUAGCUGGUCUGAGAGGACGACCAGCCACACUGGGACUGAGACACGGCCCAGACUCCUACGGGAGGCAGCAGUGGGGAAUUUUGGACAAUGGGCGAAAGCCUGAUCCAGCCAUGCCGCGUGCAGGAUGAAGGCCUUCGGGUUGUAAACUGCUUUUGUACGGAACGAAACGGCCUUUUCUAAUAAAGAGGGCUAAUGACGGUACCGUAAGAAUAAGCACCGGCUAACUACGUGCCAGCAGCCGCGGUAAUACGUAGGGUGCAAGCGUUAAUCGGAAUUACUGGGCGUAAAGCGUGCGCAGGCGGUUAUGUAAGACAGUUGUGAAAUCCCCGGGCUCAACCUGGGAACUGCAUCUGUGACUGCAUAGCUAGAGUACGGUAGAGGGGGAUGGAAUUCCGCGUGUAGCAGUGAAAUGCGUAGAUAUGCGGAGGAACACCGAUGGCGAAGGCAAUCCCCUGGACCUGUACUGACGCUCAUGCACGAAAGCGUGGGGAGCAAACA